UCCCGCCUGUUUACCAAAAACAUCGCCUCUUGACUAUUAUAAGAGGUCCAGCCUGCCCAGUGACACAACUGUUAAACGGCCGCGGUACUCUGACCGUGCGAAGGUAGCAUAAUCACUUGUUCUUUAAAUGGGGACUAGUAUCAACGGUGCCACGAGGGCUUCCCUGUCUCCUUUUUCCAAUCAGUGAAACUGAUCUCCCUGUGAAGAAGCAGGGAUACUGAUAUAAGACGAGAAGACCCCAUGGAGCUUUAAACUCAACAGACAACCCGACACAUAUUUUUUCAUCUUAGUCAUCAAAAAGCCAUGUUUGUUAGUUUUAGGUUGGGGUGACCAUGGAGUAAAACUUAACCUCCACGACGCACGGGACUUGCUACUCCCUUAUCCAAGAGCCACGACUCUAAGAAUUAAAAUAUUAACGUAAAAUGAUCCAAACAUUUGAUCAACGGACCAAGUUACCCUGGGGAUAACAGCGCAAUCCAUUUCGAGAGCUCCUAUCGACAAGUGGGUUUACGACCUCGAUGUUGGAUCAGGGUAUCCCAGUGGUGCAGCCGCUACUAAUGGUUUGUUUGUUCAACAAUUAAAACCCUACGUGAUCUGAGU
RNAcentral lists this ribosomal RNA (600 nucleotides) under Sphaerotheca breviceps (Indian burrowing frog). RNAcentral's name for it is "partial 16S ribosomal RNA". It matches the Rfam family "Bacterial large subunit ribosomal RNA", at positions 1794 to 2610 of the family's 2925-position model. Lineage: Eukaryota; Metazoa; Chordata; Amphibia; Anura; Dicroglossidae. The record is from RNAcentral.